Catharus ustulatus (Swainson's thrush) is the source of this 3803-nucleotide long non-coding RNA. NCBI's taxonomy places the organism in Eukaryota, Metazoa, Chordata, Aves, Passeriformes, Turdidae. The record is from Ensembl.
GACCUACACCUUAGGUAAAUGUUAUGACCAAUGAGAAACUGUACCCACAUCCUGUGUUCAAGGUCUAAGUUUAACCGGUCACCAUUUAAAUGGAUUGGAGCUAUUAGUGCACCAAGUGAUGUUGAUUUGUUUCAACUCUCUCCCUCCCUUCAUACUUUUUUGGUUUGUAUGUGGUUUCUCAGUUAAUACCUAGCUAAUAGCUCUUAUUUUUUCUUAAGUUUUUUAACUGCUUAGGUCUUUCUGGAUGUAAGGGUAAAAAAAAAAAAAAUCCAUAUGACAGAAAACUUGUGUGUAUUUAAAGACCCAACUGCUCCCCUGGAGCUUGUACGUUCAAGAAUGAAUUAAUCUGUGUAAUAAACUGAUUACUACAGUCAUUACAUAUAACUUUGUGUGAAUAGGCUUUUAAUUUUCAGAGCAGUUUGUUACAGGCUUAAACUAACGGUGGAUUUCUCUAAAAAAAACUUUUUGGGCUGAAGUCAUGAAGCAGUUUGGUUUGCAUCACACAAGGCACCUGAAGAGGCAAACAGGAGCUUGAGCACUUAGAUGAAAUCAGGAUGUGUAGUGUGCCAGGAACUUGACUGUUAAACCAAAUAAGCAGUUUACUAAAUGCGAAUCAGAGUGACAUUUUACAAAGCCUGAUGGUAUUACUCCCACUUGCAUGGGACCUAACACAAUGCAUAUGUACUGUAGGUAAGUGAAACCUUAUGUAACUAAAAAAAUGGAUGUAAAAGGGUAAAAAAAAGAAAAAAACCUACCAAACACAUCAGCACAAACUUUCAUAAAAUGUAGCUUUUACAUAAUUACUUUGCACUAAACAUUUGCAAAUGUUCAUACAGUUUUAAAUUGUACUUGUAUGUGUCUUUUUUUUUUUUUUUUUUUGGAACAAAGUCUUCACUUGAAUCUAGUGAAAAAAAUGUAGUUUGAAAAACUUUUCUUUGUAUACAAGUGUAUUUGCCAGCAUCGUUGGUGUGACAGUAGGUGAGUCUGCAAGUUUAUCUCCUCUUAGUAGAAUUGUAACCCAAGCCAUCGGGCAGGAGAGGACCCUGCUGGCCUGGGGCUCCAGGGUGGAGCAGAGCUGCUCUGGAGAAGGAAGGGACACAUGGCCACGUGUCCUGGCUGGGGGACACUGCUGGGUCACAGGGGAAGGGGACAGAUGGGCGUGCAGGGCUGCAGAGCUUGUGUUGGGUCACCUGCAACUCGUGGCACUCGUGUUAUCCACAGGGGCUUGGUGUCUGGACUGUGUGGGGAGCAGCCUGUGGCCCUGGAUAACACCUGUGCCAUCAAACUGGAGGGUGAGCUGGGGUUUGUGCCAGCCUGGAUCCAUGGCCUUGCCUUUGCUCACCUGCUGUGCUCCUGCUGGACUCUCCAAUACACCUUGGCCACGGUGGAGUUGCCUUCCCAUGUUUUUCCAUGGGGUCACUGACACGUACAGGGAAGGAGCUGCACUGAUUGUGAACAGUUUGGGGGAAUUCUCUUUAACUGCUUUGCAACUGAGCCACCCAAGAAUGUUUUUUGUGGCAGAUCUGGCUGCCUUUGGAAAUUGGCAGUUACUAGAAGAGAUCAGAGACCGUAUGGGGGGAGAGACAGAGCAGGGAGCAGUGACAGCUGAGGGAACAGGAUGGUUUCUCUUUCUGGAGGGGCAGGAGCCACAAACACGAGGUGACAGGACAUUAACAUGUAUGGAAACAGUCCUGAACCUGUAACAGCUUCAGCUUGGAGGAUGCAUUAACACAUCUCAUGUUGGGAUGAGCUCAUUUGCAGUGAGGUGUUCAAACAGUUUUGGCCUCUUUGCUGAUGGCUUGACAGUUGUGGUCUAGUAAAAGCAGGUCUGGUGAUGUUUGAGAUGGGAGGAUGUGCUCUGUAUACCUCCUGUGGGUUGACCAUUUGUUGUUGAGGGUUGUACUGUGAACUAGAUGGAGGAGCCUUUAGCAUUUAACUGAAAGCCUGACCCAGCUUAGCUAUUUUUGGGACUAGAAUCUUGCUCCUUUGAAGCUGUGCAUUGAGUAUGUUCUAAUGUCAAACAGCACAUGAGGCCAGGGGCUCUGGUCACUACCUUUCUAGGAAUCCUGAGCUUGUCAUGUCAUCAACCUUUUCCAUCCCUGUCCAGUUUUUUAUCUUGACUUAGUAAUUUGAGUUGCCUGAUUCCCUUUGCAUGGCUUUCUUUGUGCUGAGCCUUCUGUGGAUGUAGAUUGUUCAUGCAAUUCCCUUUUAUCCUGUCAUGUGCUAAGUGUGUUUUAUUUAAAAAUAGUGCUGGGCUGCUUAGAACCCGCCAGCUCUGGCAGCAAAGCUGGAACUCUGUGCCUGGAUACAUUCCUUGUGCUCAUCAGUGCCUGUCCACUGCUCAGAGUGACCCAGAGGAGGAGUGUGAUCCAUGUAUUUUGGAACCUCUCUUGGCUCAGCACUGAGCAGCCACUCAUCAGUGUGCAGGAGCUGGCUUCAACAUCCCCAUGGCUCAAAGCCCAACCUCUGUGACCUGCAGGCUGGGAUGGAGCUGAUCCUGAGAAGUGCUGGAGACCUGAUUACUGUGCUUGAACACCCAGCUUGUCCUGUGCUGGGAUGUGCUGCUGCAUUUCUGUCAUAGCUUUUGGGCAAGGCAAGAAAGAUUUUUUAAUUCAGUUAUUACUGUGUCAUCCCAAUGCUUCCAACUAAGCUGCAUCCUGAAGUGUCCUCACACUCUUCUGUUCAGUCUGCAGCCAUCAAAUGAUGUGGGAAAACCAGCAUGGCUAAGUUGGAUAUGCUCUUGUGUCCUUAGUGGAUGUAGCAAACUGUUGCCUGUCCCAUGCCUCUGGUCUUUCCUGGUGUUUGGCAGCUGUGGCUGCAGACAGCAAUGCCUGGCUCUGGUUUUUGACAGUCUUGGUCAUCUUCAGCAGCAAAGCAUCUCUAGAGCUGCUCUUGUUCCCAGUUCUGAGUUCCCAGUACAAGAGAUGAGAAUCUCAGGGAAGGUCGAUGGGAAGCUCUGCCCAGUGAAAGGUGGAUUUCUUUGUGCCUGAGCACAGAGGGGAGCAAGGAAGGAGUGUGGGGGGUGACAAAUGCUCACAGUAGUGAAUGUGUCACCUAAAGAACCAGGAUGACAAAGCACCUGAAUGUGCUCAGCACUCCUGCUCCAGGUGGAGGAGCCCUUGGCUAAGGCUCCAGGCAUGCCAGUGCAUCCAGGCACAGCCUGGAAGUCACCUCCUGGAAGAAUAAAAGCCUGGAGGUGUAUCUGAGUGGCAGGAAGGCUGUCCCCAUUAAAUACAGAACCUCAGAAAAAUCUUCUCAUCCUUGCAGCAUCAGGGAAGCCUCCCUCCAUCUCCUCCAGGUAGCUGGAAUGGAGUUUCACCCCCACAGUUACUGCUUCCUUCUAUUCCAUGGCUCUUCGGGUGGGCUUGGAGCAAAAAGGUGCAGAUCUCACUUGAUGAGAUUUGGAAAAAGUGGUUUUCUACAGGGAAUGCACGGGGACAAGAGCACUGAGGGUGUCUGGAAGGUUAAAAGCAGGACAAGCCCUGCUGUGCAGCUCUUGGGAGGCAUGCAGACCAAGCCCUGUGUGAGUGACUGCACUUGGAGGCUCCGGGAGGGAUCCCUGCAGCCGGUCCUUGCUGCCCCUCCCUCUCCUGGAAGUGUGUCUGACUAGAUCCAUGCUAACACUGUCUGUACUCUUGUAUUGUGUUGCAAUUUGAUCACCAUUAAAUAAUUCCCUUAAACUCUCUGGCUUGAUUGCUUUUUUUUUUUUUUUUUUUUUUAAUUUGCUUUACCUGUGCCUUUUGCCCAUUUAUUUUGGCUCACGUUGCUUCCUUUCCUCGUGUGGCUGCUCUGUCCCUUUCCCC